UUAUGACCAUAUCAUGUUGAAACACCAGUUCCCAUACAAUCACCAAAGUUAAGCAAUGUCAAGCCUAUUCAAUACUUAUAUGGGUGACCACUUGGGAAUACCAGGUGCUGUAAG
Acanthosepion pharaonis is the source of this 114-nucleotide non-coding RNA. The record is from the annotation of a GenBank genome assembly. NCBI's taxonomy places the organism in Eukaryota, Metazoa, Mollusca, Cephalopoda, Sepiida, Sepiidae.